Long non-coding RNA from Macadamia integrifolia, 966 nucleotides. RefSeq lists it as uncharacterized. The record is from RefSeq and is a predicted model, not a curated record. The transcript is spliced from 5 exons. NCBI's taxonomy places the organism in Eukaryota, Viridiplantae, Streptophyta, Magnoliopsida, Proteales, Proteaceae.
GGCCUCCUUCCCCCCUUGCAACCCCCACGGCCUGCUAACAAGCUAGCGGGACAGCCGUCCUACCUAUCUAGGUGUUGUACCAGUAGUACUUCCUAGAUUAAACUGCAACGGAAUACAAGACAUCGUACACCAACAUAACCUGGUUAAGUAAAUCUUGGAUCGAAUCACUUGAUUCCAGGGUUCUUAUAAAAACCCAGAAUCAGGGUGAUUUCACUUAUCGGAUUUUCACCUUUCCCAUCCUUCGACGAGAGACGAACACAGGCUUCUGAAAACCGAACGCAGAUUCAGGGAUUAGCUUUGUCGAUUGACUGAAGAAAGGGGUGUUUUCCUGAUUGUAGACAUAAUCACAAGAAUCGUCUGCUGAGCUCUCUGUCUUACGGGCUUCUCCUUUCCCUUUGCUGAACUACAAGCUCAAAUUUAAGUGCUUAUCCAUCCCAAGAGCUCCGAAGAGUGCAUGUAUACCAAAGAUUAUGAUGAGAAAAAGAGAGCUUCUACUGGUGUAUAAGGUUGAAAACAAAGGUUGUGGAAUGUUCGAAUGGAUAUCAAAUUCAAGCCCAAGUUGUCAUAGUUACCAGGCUCCACCUCGGUCCAAACUCCCAAUGCUCGGAAACCUCAACUUCAUCAUCUCCUUCCCUUUCAUCAGACUAUAUCAAAAGAAACUUGAACGAUGCAAUUAAAAAAUCGAAGGACCGUACGAGGAUGCUGAGAGAUGUUCUUGACACAGUCAGGAAACUUGAUUUAGACAAAAGUGUAGAAUGAACUCUGAUAGGAGAGUUGGAAUUUUUUGGAAAAGAAAAGGCUGAUGUCAUUGUAAUGAUAUUUUAUUCAUUAUCAUUUGGUAGUACCUGGAUUGUAAUAGUUAAUUUAGGCUCAGCUAUGUUUUUGGAUUAUUACAUGUUAGUACCUGCAUUGGACCAGUUUUUGUAAUGAUUAUUCUCUUUCUCCUUUAAGCUCUUGACUCAUCAA